UCGUGCUAGGCGGGGAGCUAGCGGUGCCCUGUACCCGCAAUCCGCUACAGCGGGGCCGAAGUCCCUCCCGCGGUCCGGCAUGUCGGCUCCUGUCACUCGGCGGAAGCGUUGACGGUCGGGUCCUGUGCGACGGCGCCACGUGAACCCCGUCAGAUCCGGAAGGAAGCAGCGGUAAGCGACCGGCACCGGGCGCCGCAGGGCGACCUGACCCGAGCGGAAGUCGAACGGCGUGGCCGGCGUUCCGUGAUCAACGGAGGGUGCACGA
RNAcentral lists this signal recognition particle RNA (265 nucleotides) under Chloroflexota bacterium. RNAcentral describes it as "Chloroflexi bacterium signal recognition particle sRNA large type". It matches the Rfam family "Bacterial large signal recognition particle RNA". From Rfam's summary of the family: The signal recognition particle (SRP) is a universally conserved ribonucleoprotein involved in the co-translational targeting of proteins to membranes. The record is from RNAcentral. Lineage: Bacteria; Bacillati; Chloroflexota.